This 2104-nucleotide long non-coding RNA is filed under the name Homo sapiens (human). RNAcentral describes it as "HSALNT0353073". Lineage: Eukaryota; Metazoa; Chordata; Mammalia; Primates; Hominidae. The record is from RNAcentral.
AGAGGGAGAGAGUGGGUUGCAAAGAAGAAAGCUCAUUUUCAAACUCAUAUAAUCUACAGUAAUUGCACUGGGAAUACAGGCAAAGCCUAGCAAAGCAAAUUGCUUUUCAUAGAAAUAUUUUUUUUUUCAAGUUUGUUCCACAAUGAAAAUCUCUCUAAAUUGCACGGAGUGUUGGACAUAAAGCAAUUUUAAUACAUAGCCAAUGUGAGACAAGCAAUCUGGGAUGUAAAGGUUUGAACUGAGACUGACAGCAUCAUGAGAAAAACACUAUGCUUCCAAAACAGCACUAUGUAGGACUGAACAAAAACAAAAUACAGAAAUGCUACUAAUGUGUUUACUAUCCACGCAUCUAACAUUUGUAAAGGAAUCGGCCUCUUUAUCUUUCCCUUCCCAUUUUACACUCUCUCAAACACAUUCUAUAAAAAUUAUACUUCCUUUUUUGGAAUCAUUUCCACUUUGGAGAAGUUGCAAUACUCUUAUACCUAAAUAACAUCCUUGGGAAUUAUUCAUAUGCAAAUUAGGUUAAAACAUUUCUCCAACUAUUCUUUCCUCCAACUGGUAUUCUUUCCUGUAAUCUCCUUUCCUUGUUAAAAGAAAAAUCCUGCUCACAGUAAGCCUAGAGCUUUUACAGAAGUCUAUACUCAGGCAAUAGUGCUGAGAUUUUUCUAAGAUAAGAAAUUAAAAGCCACAACUCCAAUAAAGCAGGGAGUCUGGGUUAUACAUUAUUGGUUGUUAUUGUUGUUUUUGAGUUGAGUUAUGCUUUGUACCGUUUUGUUUGGCUUGCUUUUCUAAUAAAGUGGGAAAGUCUUUAAGAAAAUAAGAAAAAUAAACCACGUGAACUAAAAUGAUCUGUCAGUGAUACUCGGGAAAAGGGAGGGUUAAAAUAAUAAUUUAACUAGAGGCCAAAAGAUUACAAACUCUUCUAAGUCUUCUAAUAUUUAUAUUGACAUAGGGCAUGAGUAUUCUAAAAAGCAGCCUAUUGUGAAACAGUCAAGACUUCUUGCAGUAUUUUCAUGGAAUAUCCCCCUAAAUUCCCAUCUGCCUGUGCAGAAGGCCAAAGACGACAUACAACGUAUGAUUAAGGAUAACUGAGUGUUCAAACUACUUUGGAGUUGGCAAGGAGCGGAGUUCAUUAAUGGUUGAAUUAAAUGGUUGAAUUAAAUAUUUGAGGCAAAUGGUUGAAUUAAAUAUUUGAGGCAAGAAAAUGAUCUGACCAAGUCCUCAGAAAACAUUAUACCAAGUUGAAUGACUUGAGCCUUUUACAUGUUUGAAGUCAAACAGAAUACCAAGUUCUUGAGGCUCUUAUAACUAGAUGGACAUUGACUGAUAAUGCCACAGCAUAUGCUGUAUUUUCUUUCCAAUAUCUAGUUGAUAUUACACUUUCAGAAGAGACAGCAUCUAAUCGUUCCUCUUCCACCUUCCUACCUGCCUUUAAGAUACACCUAAGUGGACAAAUAUAGGGUUGACUUAAUCAAUUUGGUGCCAAUUUCAUAACAUUCUCUUGAGUCAAGAUCAAAGUAGAAAUAUGGAUUUUGUUGUGUUUUAAUAAGCAUCAGAAAGAGUGAGACUACAAUUCUUUCCAGACCCUCUUUAGCCAACUUCCGGAAAGUCUCCCUUUUACUUUUUUAAACCUUCCUGGCCUUUCCCAGAAGUUUUUCAAGGUUGAGUUAGAGACAAAAACUGAAAAGAUUCAGUUCCAAUGGCUUCUUUUCUGACAUCCACACUCAGUUUGCUCGUCUUUAUCACUGUGGACAAGAAUAAUUGCUUAGGAAAAAAAAUCAAAUUAGGACCCAAAUUAAAAAUAUAUUUAUAAACAGUAAUUACACUGUGCGAAUAGUUUCAAGAAACUUGAGUAACAUAGUAUCAUAUUGGAUCUCAGGAGAGAAGAAAUACUGGAUCUUUUUUCCCAAGACGUAUGAGAGAAAAUAGGAAAAUAAAGACAAUGGAAGACCAGUUCUCGAGAUCAUUUUCAAUCUGGCUUUGCCUAUCUGUCUGUGGUCCUCAACACGGCAUCAGUAUACUUCUCUCCAUCUGCAACUUUACCAGAACAACAUAAUAAUGCUACCAUUAAUACUUUGUCCAAGACACUGUGCUAAAUUAGCAA